AUACGUAGGUGGCAAGCGUUGUCCGGAAUUAUUGGGCGUAAAGCGCGCGCAGGCGGUCUUUUAAGUCUGAUGUGAAAUCACGCGGCUCAACCGCGUGCGGUCAUUGGAAACUGGGAGACUUGAGCGCAGAAGAGAAGAGCGGAAUUCCACGUGUAGCGGUGAAAUGCGUAGAGAUGUGGAGGAACACCAGUGGCGAAGGCGGCUCUUUGGUCUGUAACUGACGCUGAGGCGCGAAAGCGUGGGGAGCAAACAGGAUUAGAUACCCUGGUAGUCCACGCCGUAAACGAUGAGUGCUAAGUGUUAGAGGGUUUCCGCCCUUUAGUGCUGCAGUAAACGCAUUAAGCACUCCGCCUGGGGAGUACGGCCGCAAGGCUGAA
RNAcentral lists this ribosomal RNA (377 nucleotides) under uncultured bacterium. RNAcentral describes it as "bacterial SSU rRNA". It matches the Rfam family "Bacterial small subunit ribosomal RNA", at positions 523 to 898 of the family's 1533-position model. The record is from RNAcentral.